This 75-nucleotide non-coding RNA is filed under the name unclassified sequences. RNAcentral describes it as "eL15-Euryarchaeota ribosomal protein leader". It matches the Rfam family "eL15-Euryarchaeota ribosomal protein leader". The record is from RNAcentral.
CCCGUACGGCAACCGCCCACGGGCCGGGAUGUGGACCUGAUUCGAGGACGUCCUCGAUGCGGUCUGAACCACGAA